RNAcentral lists this ribosomal RNA (403 nucleotides) under bacterium. RNAcentral's name for it is "partial 16S ribosomal RNA". It matches the Rfam family "Bacterial small subunit ribosomal RNA", at positions 355 to 776 of the family's 1533-position model. The record is from RNAcentral.
UGGGGAAUAUUGCACAAUGGGGGAAACCCUGAUGCAGCGACGCCGCGUGAACGAAGAAGGUAUUCGUAUCGUAAAGUUCUGUCCUAUGGGAAGAUAAUGACAGUACCACAGAAGAAAGCUCCGGCUAAAUACGUGCCAGCAGCCGCGGUAAUACGUAUGGAGCGAGCGUUGUCCGGAAUUAUUGGGCGUAAAGGGUACGCAGGCGGUUUAAUAAGUCGAAUGUUAAAGAUCGGGGCUCAACCCCGCAAAGCAUUGGAAACUGAUAAACUUGAGUAGUGGAGAGGAAAGUGGAAUUCCUAGUGUAGUGGUGAAAUACGUAGAUAUUAGGAGGAAUACCAGUAGCGAAGGCGACUUUCUGGACACAAACUGACGCUGAGGUACGAAAGCGUGGGGAGCAAACAGG